This 484-nucleotide ribosomal RNA is filed under the name uncultured bacterium. Its description in RNAcentral is "partial 16S ribosomal RNA". It matches the Rfam family "Bacterial small subunit ribosomal RNA", at positions 30 to 507 of the family's 1533-position model. The record is from RNAcentral.
AUUGAACGCUGGCGGCAUGCCUUACACAUGCAAGUCGAACGGCAGCGCGGGAGCAAUCCUGGCGGCGAGUGGCGAACGGGUGAGUAUUACAUCGGAACGUGCCCAAUCGUGGGGGAUAACGCAGCGAAAGCUGUGCUAAUACCGCAUACGAUCUACGGAUGAAAGCAGGGGAUCGCAAGACCUUGCGCGAAUGGAGCGGCCGAUGGCAGAUUAGGUAGUUGGUGAGGUAAAGGCUCACCAAGCCUUCGAUCUGUAGCUGGUCUGAGAGGACGACCAGCCACACUGGGACUGAGACACGGCCCAGACUCCUACGGGAGGCAGCAGUGGGGAAUUUUGGACAAUGGGCGAAAGCCUGAUCCAGCCAUGCCGCGUGCAGGAUGAAGGCCUUCGGGUUGUAAACUGCUUUUGUACGGAACGAAACGGUCUUUUCUAAUAAAGAAGGCUAAUGACGGUACCGUAAGAAUAAGCACCGGCUAACUACGUG